Long non-coding RNA from Carassius auratus (goldfish), 614 nucleotides. RefSeq lists it as uncharacterized. The transcript has 4 exons. The record is from RefSeq and is a predicted model, not a curated record. Lineage: Eukaryota; Metazoa; Chordata; Actinopteri; Cypriniformes; Cyprinidae.
AUUAUAUAUUUAUUUAUAAGGAAUUUUAUAAUACAUCGUUUCAUAUGGUAACCCAUAUAUUAAGGCAUUUGGCAUAUAGUUAAAAAAAGUUGAAUGAUUUAUGUGGGUGUUUUUUAAUUGCGUAUCUUCAUGGUUGCCAGAUUUUGACACAAAACCCACCUAAUCUCAUAGGUUAUAGCCAACAAUUUUGUGGGUGGGAGGUAGUUGUAGAGAUGUAGAUGUCAAAAAUAUAGGCUAGGUAAAUAGAUAAAAUCAAUUCCCAUGAUAUAUUUUUAAUAUUAUUAUUUUGCUUUCUAUUAAACACACUAAUUACAUAAAGAGCGGAAUCGUACGCGAUAUACCUGGCAACCAAUCAUCUAAACCGUCAGCCUGCACUCAUUUUCCAAUUCAUUUUCUGAGCCUUUGAGGAUGAACAAGACCAACGAGAACCAGUCAGGUAAAAAUCAUUGGUGAAGUCACCAGAUGUGGAUGGCGUGUAUGUUGUUCGACAUUGCAGCGUGCUAAUGAGUUAAUAAAGAGGCAGCAAAAACCUGGGAUCUGCAUUGGCCCUGUCAAGUCUGGAGAGUGUUUUUACCAUUUAAUGAAUUAAAUUGUAAUAAAAGUUUUUAAAUGGA